AGCGGCAAUAGAGAAAAAUAGCCAAGAGCUGAAAAACACAUAAGUUGAGCACACAUCUUUACAAUUCUUUGACAAACACUACAGGUUGCACGUGUGUACAUGUGUGUGCAUAAUGUGUGUGUAUGUGUACGUGCACCCCUUUCUGCUAGGUAGGGUGGGUGGUGGUAGGGCAUUGGAGCAUUGUGCUGUAAGUACUGCAUGUGACAGAGUUGUGCUAAAAGGCGAGAGAGAGAGAGAGAGAGAGAGAGAGAGAGAGACGUGUACUAUGUAAACAAGCUGUCAAAAUAGAAAGUGCAGGGACAUUUUUAAACCCUUUGGAGGAUGGAAAAGGUGAGAAAUCACACAGAACGCACAGAGCCGCACUCAAAGUGGUCGAGUAGGGGCGGAGAGAGAGAGAGAGAGUGAGAGAGAGGGAGAGUAAGAGAGAGGGAGUGAGAGACAGAGAGAGGAAGGGAGAGACUGAGAGAGAGGAAGGGAAAGAGAGCGCGCACAAGCGAGAAGUUAACCACACGCGCGUGAGAAUCAGAAAGCGAGAGAGGGUGGGAGGGACUGAGGGGAGCAACAGAGAGAGAAAGAGAGAGAGUGAGAGAGAAACGGUAAGACAUAGACUCAGUGACAGAACCAGAGCAAGGGCGAGGAGGAAGGGACUGUCUCUGUGUGCGCGCGGGGGUGUGUGUGUGUGUGUAUGUGUGUGUGUGUUUGUGAAGGUAAAAGAGAGAGAGAGAGAAACAGAGAGGGAGCGUGGACGUUAGAAGGAAAAGAAAAAAAGCCAAGCGUAAUUAAUUCAGGCUGGAUGGGAGGGACGUUGUUGUCGGUUGCCGUUGCUCCAGUGCCCGCACCGCGCCGCUUGUAGCCGCGGGUUUUCAGAGAGAGCGACAGAGAGCAGGACAAGGCUGCUCUCCGGGAGCCAGACGGCAGACAGGAGCUCUGGCAAGCCCCGAGACCCGCAUCAACGUCUACAGCCCCAUCUCCUUCUCCUCCUCCUCCUCCUCCUCCUCAUGCUCUCCUAGCGGUCCGGCCACAGGCUGUCAGCACGCCACUGAGGUGCACCGCCAGCAGGGAUGGCACGCGGACAAGGCAGGCAUGGCCUGAGCUUCAACUUUUCAUUAGCCGCCAGCCGCCGGGACUAAAACAGCAACACCGCUUAGAUGUGGAAAUGCAGGCUGAACUUCACCUCACUCUGCUGUUUGGGAAUAGAGGCGUGAAGGUGGGAGUCGCUAUUGUGUGUCUGUGUGUGUGUGUGUUUGCUGUACGGCCAGAUUUAUGAUGAGAGAGUCCGUAAUGGAGUCCACACACUUUAAUUUCCUCAAGGCCCCAAGGUGAAAAGAAAUGUCAACGCUUUGACGAAGAUCCUGAAUGGUUUUUCCUGAGCAUUGUUUUUUUUCUUUAAUUGCCGAUAAUAGAAAGAAAGAAAAUAAUUGAAAUAUACCGAUUCCCGACUCUCCUCUUUUCAAACAAAGUAGUAGCCCCCCACUUGUACAGCACCUGCAGAAAAAAAUGUGACGUGCUCAUCCUUCAAGGGUCAAGCUGAAACCGCUUCGACCUCUGUGAUAAUCCAGCAGCAUCGCUGCAGCUGGGACUAGACCUUGACCCUUAUUUAGCUUUUUGUUCCUGGUUUCACACUGCCAGUAGGUAGAAAGAUGUGGGAAGAAAAGUGCAUUUGGUUUGUAGUUUCUUAGCAUUCAUGUUUGAGUCUAUAGGGUUCUAUUUUUAAAGGGACAUGCAUCGACAAAUGACACUCUUUGCUCCUGUACACAUGAGAACACGGUGAAUACUAUUUAUUGAUUUAGCACUUAGGUCAUCUUAGUUACGAAGCCUUAGAAUACAGAUUUGAUGAUUAAAUAUAUGAAUAGACAAAUCAAAAGAUGAAAUGAGAUUGUCUCAAUGUUCUAUAAAUAUUCAAUAUUUUGAAGAAUACUAAUACCGUGUGCUUGUUUCUCCCCGCCUUUACCUUGGUCCUGCUAGUACGCUCCUCCUCCGCCAGACAGCUGUGCUGAUUUAUCUUCCGUUGUUGCGCUUAAUUACGUCUCAUUAAGUAAUCACCGUAUGCAAUGUUUAUUUACUCCACCGUCCCCCUCGGAGUCACAGGCUGGCCAUAAACACAGACUGGGCUUCCUAUAUACUAU
Molecule: long non-coding RNA, 2126 nt
Organism: Gadus macrocephalus (Pacific cod)
Lineage: Eukaryota; Metazoa; Chordata; Actinopteri; Gadiformes; Gadidae
Exons: 3
Source: RefSeq, a predicted model, not a curated record